GCCCGGGUGGUGAAAUUGGUAGACACAGCAGACUUAAAAUCUGCCGACCCUAAAACGGUCGUACCGGUUCGAUUCCGGUUCCGGGCACCA
Molecule: transfer RNA, 90 nt
Filed under: Burkholderiaceae bacterium
Lineage: Bacteria; Pseudomonadati; Pseudomonadota; Betaproteobacteria; Burkholderiales; Burkholderiaceae
Also listed under: 1 other name
Description: tRNA-Leu
Rfam family: tRNA
About the family: Transfer RNA (tRNA) molecules are approximately 80 nucleotides in length. Their secondary structure includes four short double-helical elements and three loops (D, anti-codon, and T loops).
Source: RNAcentral